GAUGAAGAACGCAGCGAAAUGCGAUAAGUAAUGCGAAUUGCAGAAUCCGUGAGUCAUCGAAUCUUUGAACGCACAUUGCGCCCUCUGGUAUUCCGGAGGGCAUGCCUGUUCGAGCGUCAUUUCACCACUCAAGCCUCGCUUGGUAUUGGGCAACGCGGUCCGCCGCGUGCCUCAAAUCGACCGGCUGGGUCUUCUGUCCCCUAAGCGUUGUGGAAACUAUUCGCUAAAGGGUGUUCGGGAGGCUACGCCGUAAAACAACCCCAUUUCUAAGGUUGACCUCGGAUCAGGUAGGGAUACCCGCUGAACUUAAGCAUAUCAAUAAGCGGAGGA
This 330-nucleotide unclassified non-coding RNA is filed under the name soil metagenome. RNAcentral's name for it is "partial contains 5.8S ribosomal RNA, internal transcribed spacer 2, and large subunit ribosomal RNA". The stretch from base 1 to 119 matches the Rfam family "5.8S ribosomal RNA", at positions 35 to 154 of the family's 154-position model. The record is from RNAcentral.